UACGUAGGGCGCAAGCGUUAUCCGGAAUUAUUGGGCGUAAAGAGCUCGUAGGCGGCUUGUCGCGUCGUCCGUGAAAACUUGGGGCUCAACCCCAAGCUUGCGGUCGAUACGGGCAGGCUAGAGUUCGGCAGAGGAGACUGGAAUUCCUGGUGUAGCAGUGAAAUGCGUAGAUAUCAGGAGGAAUACCGAUGGUGAAGGCAGGUCUCUGGGCUGAUACUGACGCUCAUGCACGAAAGCGUGGGGAGCAAACAGG
RNAcentral lists this ribosomal RNA (253 nucleotides) under uncultured bacterium. RNAcentral describes it as "partial 16S ribosomal RNA". It matches the Rfam family "Bacterial small subunit ribosomal RNA", at positions 524 to 776 of the family's 1533-position model. The record is from RNAcentral.